UGUUAAAAUAUUGAGAAAUAUUCUUAAAAGACUGCCGUGCCUCAUUUGCACCUAAAAGAAUUGAAUGAAAAACCUGUCAAUGAGGGACAAAAGCAUUAGACUCCAGGGAGCAAAAACUAAUGUGUUGUGCGCAAAAUACCACUGACAAGGCUUAUUCUAAAUCUUUGUCUGAAGAAAAUGAAUGGGAGGCUACCAAAGAACGCUGUAAAAUGGAGAACAGACUAUUUCUUCAGGGAAGAAAAUGUUUUGAUUAUGAUUAAAGGUGCUUUUACUGACUGAGUC
RNAcentral lists this long non-coding RNA (282 nucleotides) under Anser brachyrhynchus (Pink-footed goose). Its description in RNAcentral is "lncRNA (ENSABRG00000007441.1)". The record is from RNAcentral. Lineage: Eukaryota; Metazoa; Chordata; Aves; Anseriformes; Anatidae.